Long non-coding RNA from Numida meleagris (helmeted guineafowl), 2406 nucleotides. Lineage: Eukaryota; Metazoa; Chordata; Aves; Galliformes; Numididae. The record is from Ensembl.
AUGCUUUCCACUCUUGGCAAUGCCUCAAACAGAGGUUUCCCAACCCUUUCAAUGCACACACAGACCAGCUGCUGUGGGCCCCCAGGUGUGGCACAAACCAUGCUAACCAGAGAGUCUGGAACUGACCAGUGCCGAAGACAGGUCACACCAAGCCCGUUGUGUCCUUCUCCCUUGUGGAAGCAGGCAAAGCUGCAGCUUCCUACGGCUCAGAAGACUGCAGGGAACGUUUCCAGACUCACUGCACCACAGCCUCCCUCACUUCAGAGCUGUGAUACGAAGAUAUGGAAACAAGCUCGCGUUUCGCCUUUUCUAAUUACUGCUUGGCGCUUGAGAUGUGUCUCUCACAUUUCUGGCUGCCAUGGGAAGGUGGUGAUGUGGAAGGCUGAUGUAUAUUAGAAGAGUACUGAUUGGCUCCUAGCUCCUGCUGGCUCUGCUCCUCUGUCAGGCCUGCAGUACACCCUGAUUUUCUGUAGAUGUUGCUGCAUGCCUGCAGUCUCCCAGCACAGCUCUCACAGAGGGAAGCCUGCAAGUCCAUUGCAUCCCCUGAAGGGUGCACCCUCAAGAGUGAGCCCUGGGGCCAGCACUGCGUGUACUCCUGGGUGACCUGAGAGGGGAUACCUCUGACCUCAGAUGCUGUAGCUCUGCAAAGUAAUCUGCCGAGUUCCCAGCUGAAAUUCAUGAUGUGCAAGCCCACGCGCUCCCACUGACAGGUCCUGCCCUGCGGAUAUUGCUGGAAGCCAGGUUAGAGAUUGAUGUGACUGCUUGAGAUAGGGUAGGAAGGAUUCAGCUGGGUCCAGGAACCCAGAGUAAAUCCCAGCAGAUAGGAAAUACUCCUUGUGACAGAUGCAAGACCUUAGUAGCAAGGAUCCUUCAAAGGCAAUCACCCUGAGAUAUGACCUGUGCCAGGCUCACACACACAGCCACUGGAGAAGCUCCUGCAUCAGCGCUCCCCGUGUCAUGCAUCAUUGGGCUUCUUAGCCCGAUGAGGUGGACAGGAAGGACAUGGGCAGCAAGAUGAUGGUGAGGAUCUGUUCUGCUGACAGCUUUUCUCUCUCCUAUCACCUGCAGCAAGCAAUGGGGAUGAGGACUCUACCUCCUUCUUUCCCCAUGCUCUUCCCACCUAAGCCCACCUUGUUUAAUUAAUACAGGUCUCUGAUCUGUGAACACAGAAGUUUCUCAUGGGGGAAAUUACUUGCUCUGAUUUAAGAAACCAGACAAAGAAAGGUGACGAUGAAUUGGAAGAAACAGCCCUGACUGAAAUCCACAUAGCCAGAGCUGGAAGAGCGGAGUGCACUGGGAUCUGCUGGGGCUGAACAACAUUACAAGAGAGGCUUAGCACGAGGGUUUGACUUGUGUGUUUGUAUGUGGUGCUGCUUUUCAACAUUUAUGUCCUGAAAUACAAGGUACAGUGCUUUGGGAAAGCUGUCACAUCACUGCUUGUCAUCGCCACGGAGCAGGGACAGAGCUGUGAGUGCUGAGCUAAUGGUGCUCAGAGUGCUCUGAGACAGGUGCCAGGGGAUGCCACGUUCAGCAUGUGGGAUGUGCAUUGCCUUUUAGGAUUUGCAGGUUUUCUGGACUCAAACAUCACCCUGCAGCUUCAUCUUUCACAGAGGAGACCUCAACAGCUAUGUACUCUUCUCUCUUGAAAUGCUGGGCACAGGCUGCUCAGCAGGUUCUUGUCUCCAGGGCUGGGGGAGAUCCCUGUGCCAGUCUACCAGAAUUCCAGCUGGGCCGAGACCAGGGCACACUGAUGGAACAGUGCUGGGCCCCUGUGCUUUCAGCACUCUCUACAUCCCUGCUUCUCUAGUUGGCUUACUACUGCUUGGGAAUAGAAAACAAAGGCCACCAGAAGAGCGCAUCAAAGAGCAGAGGAGAAAUGCCCAGCUGUCUCUUCUGUACCUCAAAGAUUUAGAAAACCAGCACCUUAAAGCACAGUUGGAGAAAGGGAGAUAGACGGGUGAGCACAUCAGUAGCAGAGAGGUGGAGGUAGACAUUCAGACCAUCCAUGAGCAUGGAUGGGAUGAGGUGGCUGCCCAACAGGAUGGAGAUGCUUUCUGUAGGGCAGUUCCCUGGAUACUCUGGGAAGUGACAGCUCAGCUGGUGAGGUGAGGAGGAGGAUGAGGAGCAUCCCAGGCACCAUGUUGGGUAGGAAGGGACUGGGCAGAAAAGUGGUUGAAUUGGAUUUUGUUUUGAAGAACACCUUAGGACCUGAAAAUCCUGCUCAGAAAUCUGCUUUGUCAAAGGCCAGCCCACCCUCCCCAACUCUGCUCCCUUCCGUUUCUUUGUGCUUCUGAGCAAUCUGCUCCUACACAUGUUAAGGAGCACUUAGUGAGUGACUAAAACAAAGCCGCAGAAAAGAAAUAACCUAAGGAUUUAAUAAACUGCAAACGAAAUUAUAUAAAAAAU